This 1437-nucleotide ribosomal RNA is filed under the name uncultured organism. RNAcentral describes it as "SSU rRNA". It matches the Rfam family "Bacterial small subunit ribosomal RNA". The record is from RNAcentral.
UUACAGGCUUAACACAUGCAAGUCGAGGGGCAGCAUGGUCUUAGCUUGCUAAGGCCGAUGGCGACCGGCGCACGGGUGAGUAACGCGUAUCCAACCUGCCUUACACUCUUGGACAGCCUUCUGAAAGGGAGAUUAAUACAAGAUGUUAUCAUGAGUAAGCAUUUUCGCAUGAUUAAAGGUUUACCGGUGUAAGAUGGGGAUGCGUUCCAUUAGAUAGUAGGCGGGGUAACGGCCCACCUAGUCUUCGAUGGAUAGGGGUUCUGAGAGGAAGGUCCCCCACAUUGGAACUGAGACACGGUCCAAACUCCUACGGGAGGCAGCAGUGAGGAAUAUUGGUCAAUGGACGAGAGUCUGAACCAGCCAAGUAGCGUGAAGGAUGAAGGUUCUAUGGAUUGUAAACUUCUUUUAUACGGGAAUAAACGGAUCCACGUGUGGAUUUUUGCAUGUACCGUAUGAAUAAGGAUCGGCUAACUCCGUGCCAGCAGCCGCGGUAAUACGGAGGAUCCGAGCGUUAUCCGGAUUUAUUGGGUUUAAAGGGAGCGUAGAUGGGUUGUUAAGUCAGUUGUGAAAGUUUGCGGCUCAACCGUAAAAUUGCAAUUGAUACUGGCAGUCUUGAGUACAGUUGAGGUAGGCGGAAUUCGUGGUGUAGCGGUGAAAUGCUUAGAUAUCACGAAGAACUCCGAUUGCGAAGGCAGCUUACUAACCUGUAACUGACAUUGAUGCUCGAAAGUGUGGGUAUCAAACAGGAUUAGAUACCCUGGUAGUCCACACGGUAAACGAUGAAUACUCGCUGUAGGCGAUAUACAGUCUGCGGCCAAGCGAAAGCAUUAAGUAUUCCACCUGGGGAGUACGCCGGCAACGGUGAAACUCAAAGGAAUUGACGGGGGCCCGCACAAGCGGAGGAACAUGUGGUUUAAUUCGAUGAUACGCGAGGAACCUUACCCGGGCUUAAAUUGCAACCGAAUAUGGCGGAAACGCUAUAGCUAGCAAUAGCGGUUGUGAAGGUGCUGCAUGGUUGUCGUCAGCUCGUGCCGUGAGGUGUCGGCUUAAGUGCCAUAACGAGCGCAACCCUUGCCGAUAGUUACUAACAGGUCAUGCUGAGGACUCUGUCGGGACUGCCAUCGUAAGAUGUGAGGAAGGUGGGGAUGACGUCAAAUCAGCACGGCCCUUACGUCCGGGGCUACACACGUGUUACAAUGGGGGGUACAGAGGGCUGCUACCACGCAAGUGGAUGCCAAUCCCAAAAACCUCUCUCAGUUCGGAUUGAAGUCUGCAACCCGACUUCAUGAAGCUGGAUUCGCUAGUAAUCGCGCAUCAGCCACGGCGCGGUGAAUACGUUCCCGGGCCUUGUACACACCGCCCGUCAAGCCAUGGGAGCCGGGGGUACCUGAAGUGCGUAACCGCAAGGAGCGCCCUAGGGUAAAACUGGUGACUGGG